Molecule: microRNA, 21 nt
Filed under: Marek's disease virus serotype 2 MDV2
Lineage: Duplodnaviria; Heunggongvirae; Peploviricota; Herviviricetes; Herpesvirales; Orthoherpesviridae
Description: mdv2-miR-M14-3p
Gene: mdv2-miR-M14-3p
Source: miRBase by way of RNAcentral
UCAGGAAGUUCCGUGCCCGAA